Molecule: ribosomal RNA, 253 nt
Filed under: uncultured bacterium
Lineage: Bacteria
Description: partial 16S ribosomal RNA
Rfam family: Bacterial small subunit ribosomal RNA
Source: RNAcentral
UACAGAGGGUGCAAGCGUUAAUCGGAUUUACUGGGCGUAAAGCGAGUGUAGGUGGUUUGCUAAGUCAGGUGUGAAAUCCCAGGGCUCAACCCUGGAACUGCAUUUGAUACUGGCAAGCUAGAGUGUGGUAGAGGAUAGUGGAAUUCCCGGUGUAGCGGUGAAAUGCGUAGAUAUCGGGAGGAACAUCAGUGGCGAAGGCGGCUAUCUGGACUAACACUGACACUGAGACUCGAAAGCGUGGGGAGCAAACAGG